UACGUAGGUGGCGAGCGUUGUCCGGAAUUACUGGGUGUAAAGGGCGUGUAGGCGGUUAUGUAAGUCGGAUGUGAAAUUCCAUGGCUCAACUGUGGGACUGCAUCUGAAACUAUGUAUCUUGAGUGCUGGAGAGGGAAGCGGAAUUCCCAGUGUAGCGGUGAAAUGCGUAGAUAUUGGGAGGAACACCAGUGGCGAAGGCGGCUUUCUGGACAGCAACUGACGCUGAGGCGCGAAAGCGUGGGGAGCAAACAGGAUUAGAUACCCUGGUAGUCCACGCUGUAAACGAUGGAUACUAGGUGUAGGAGGUAUCGACCCCUUCUGUGCCGCAGUUAACACAAUAAGUAUCCCACCUGGGGAGUACGGCCGCAAGGUUG
This 374-nucleotide ribosomal RNA is filed under the name uncultured prokaryote. Its description in RNAcentral is "bacterial SSU rRNA". It matches the Rfam family "Bacterial small subunit ribosomal RNA", at positions 524 to 896 of the family's 1533-position model. The record is from RNAcentral.